RNAcentral lists this long non-coding RNA (1183 nucleotides) under Salmo salar (Atlantic salmon). RNAcentral's name for it is "lncRNA (ENSSSAG00000120006.1, ENSSSAG00020073383.1, ENSSSAG00075065534.1)". Lineage: Eukaryota; Metazoa; Chordata; Actinopteri; Salmoniformes; Salmonidae. The record is from RNAcentral.
CAUUUUCAAAACUGUGCACUCUCCUCAAACAAUAGCAUGGUAUUCUUUCACUGUAAUAGUGAUUGUAAAUUGGACAGUGCAGUUAGAUUAACAAGAAUUUAAGCUUUCUGCCAAUAUCAGAUAUGUCUAUGUCCUGGGAAAUGUUCUUGUUACUUACAACCUCAUGCUAAUCGCAUUAGCCUACAUUAGCUCAACUGCCCCACAGCGGACCCACCAAUCCUGAAGAAGUUUUAAGGCCUUAGUUUGAUUGCCAAGUUUAACCCUAACACAGUGGUGUCUGUAUCUCUUGACAAGGGAUCUCAGUGUUGGGAUAAGGACAUUAAACUAGUGAUUACAAGUCUUUAUUGCCACAUGCUCUUAUGUAAGCAUUUACAAAGACUUCAGAUCUGGCAGCGGACAUGCUCAAACUUUAAUUAACAUAAACAUAGAACACCAACACUUAGAGCCCUUGUCAAGAGAUAUGGACCUCUUGGUGUAAUGUUUAAAAAUACUGUAUGAGGAGUUAUGCAUAACACCAUUGGUGUAAACUAUAUACACUUCCUAGUGUUAAAAAUACUAUAUGAGGUGUUAUUGCAUAACAUUGAAAGUGUUAAAUCCCAAUCACUGGUAAAGUAUAACAGCGUCAGCACUACGCACAGUGUUAAAUUAAUACUGAAAAGUGUGGACCAAUAUAGUCACUGACCCAGUAUUAAAUAUAACUCUGUCAGUGUUGAUGUAACAUUGGAGAAUUUGCUGUGUGCAGAUUAUAUCUGCUUUUACUCACUUUGAAAUGUCCACCUUGAGAAUACUUUCUCAAAGGCACUGUGCGCUAGAGGUUUUAUUCUGUGACAAAUGAAAUCAAAUGGAAUCAAAUCUACUUCUCAGAUCAUGUUCUCUCCACUCUCCAAAAGGACAAGAGCAGUCACAAGAAGGAAAAAACACAACCCCCCAAAAAACAUUCUAUGUUCUUCAGCAUCAAAGGUCCCAUUGGAGGUAGAGGCCCCAACAUAAGAGAAACAAGACAAGGGGAAGGCAGGUAGCAAUGAGUAAAUAAAAGUCUAGCUAUUGUGCUGCAUUAUUUUGUUGGAGAAGAUGAGCUGUCACUGUCUGCUGCUACUACACCAGUGUAUAUUAAUGUGGUGUUGCGAGAACAGUUCAAAUAUAAUGGACAAAAAUAUAAACACAACAUGCAACAAUUUCAAAG